Long non-coding RNA from Dromiciops gliroides (monito del monte), 640 nucleotides. RefSeq lists it as uncharacterized. Lineage: Eukaryota; Metazoa; Chordata; Mammalia; Microbiotheria; Microbiotheriidae. The transcript has 3 exons. The record is from RefSeq and is a predicted model, not a curated record.
GCCAAGUCCGGGAGGCAGGCAAUGGGGUUGACAUCGCACACUCCAGCAUCCUGAUCGUCCCGAAAGUAAAUAGCAUCAGGGGAAAAGGCAGAGGGGUCCUCGUCAAAGAAGUUGUAGGGCCUGAGGAAGAAACCAACGCCAUUUCCUGAAGUCACUGUGUUGGGGACGUCCUCUGCGUGGGGGAUAUGCAGAAAGCUCGCUGUGACCCAGGCAACCAGGUCCUGGAAAAAAGAGGAGAGGAGCUCCAUGGGCAACUGACCUCCCCUGAGAGCAGCUCACUGUCAAUGAAGUUGGCAAAGACCACAGUUGGUGUCCAAGGAUCAUUCUGGUUGUAGAUGCUGCUGCUCUGUGGUUCUUCCUCUUUCCGGCGAGUCACUGCCAGCUGGUACCUAACCAUGAGGUGGGGGCUCCAGGUUUAUGCAGCUGCCCACAACCUCCCACCUUGCAUUACCAUUGGACUCCAGAGCAGAGCAUGCUGCAAGCGGCAAAGAUCAAAGUGUAAGCAGAAAAAGAAAACCUAAACCAAUUUAAUUCUGACUAGCUUGAAAAUGUGAGGCAAGAUGUUUGACGAUCUAAUGUUUCAUGAACUAUCUGUGCCCAAUCCUUCAUGAAGUGGACAAUAUAAUCACUUCUCUCGCUC